GUAGCGGUGAAAUGCGUAGAGAUCUGGAGGAAUACCGGUGGCGAAGGCGGCCCCCUGGACGAAGACUGACGCUCAGGUGCGAAAGCGUGGGGAGCAAACAGGAUUAGAUACCCCUGGUAGUCCACGCCGUAAACGAUGUCGACUUGGAGGUUGUGCCCUUGAGGCGUGGCUUCCGGAGCUAACGCGUUAAGUCGACCGCCUGGGGAGUACGGCCGCAAGGUUAAAACUCAAAUGAAUUGACGGGGGCCCGCACAAGCGGUGGAGCAUGUGGUUUAAUUCGAUGCAACGCGAAGAACCUUACCUGGUCUUGACAUCCACGGAAGUUUUCAGAGAUGAGAAUGUGCCUUCGGGAACCGUGAGACAGGUGCUGCAUGGCUGUCGUCAGCUCGUGUUGUGAAAUGUUGGGUUAAGUCCCGCAACGAGCGCAACCCUUAUCCUUUGUUGCCAGCGGUCCGGCCGGGAACUCAAAGGAGACUGCCAGUGAUAAACUGGAGGAAGGUGGGGAUGACGUCAAGUCAUCAUGGCCCUUACGACCAGGGCUACACACGUGCUACAAUGGCGCAUACAAAGAGAAGCGACCUCGCGAGAGCAAGCGGACCUCAUAAAGUGCGUCGUAGUCCGGAUUGGAGUCUGCAACUCGACUCCAUGAAGUCGGAAUCGCUAGUAAUCGUGGAUCAGAAUGCCACGGUGAAUACGUUCC
This 700-nucleotide ribosomal RNA is filed under the name Escherichia coli. Its description in RNAcentral is "bacterial SSU rRNA". It matches the Rfam family "Bacterial small subunit ribosomal RNA", at positions 675 to 1374 of the family's 1533-position model. Lineage: Bacteria; Pseudomonadati; Pseudomonadota; Gammaproteobacteria; Enterobacterales; Enterobacteriaceae. The record is from RNAcentral.